GCGCAGCCGGUCACGCGCAGCAGCUUUUCAAAUUAAAAGCGCGCGUGCUCAGCUCUGCGGUAAACCGUCAAAUUCACCUCAGACCUUUUUUAGACCUACAGACACUUCGCUUCGGGUUUUCCUCAGGUAUUCAGGGCCUGUGUCUUGAGCUCGAUUGGCUCCCCCCGGGUGUCCUGUUGCCCCUCGACCUCUGGAGGCCGAUUGCCUUUGAGCACAGCCAGCCUCUCAGACAGGCCACGCAUGCGUGGAAAAAGCAUGAAGUCAUACAGGAGGGCACCAAUCGCGCCGCCAAUGAAGGGGCCGACCCAGUACACCUGUCAGAGAGAGGGAAAAGCACAGAGAAUGGAAAAAUUUAAGGAGCGAUUAUCAAGUAAGAAGAUAAAAUGGAUAUCUAUGGAGCAUCUUUUGACUGCAAGUAAAAGACGCUGAGAGAAAAAGAAGUAGG
This is a long non-coding RNA of Astyanax mexicanus (Mexican tetra), 445 nucleotides long. RefSeq lists it as uncharacterized. The record is from RefSeq and is a predicted model, not a curated record. Lineage: Eukaryota; Metazoa; Chordata; Actinopteri; Characiformes; Acestrorhamphidae. The transcript has 3 exons.